UCCCGCCCCGCCAUGCAAAUCAGCCAGGCGGCGACGGCCAAUGGGGAGGCGAGCUCCGCUGUUGUAUUUAUAGACGCUAUUUAAAGAGCCCCUGGGAGUCUCCGCGCGGCGCUGGGCGGCGGCGGCGACUGGGAGGGCGCGCGGGAGGCUGGGCACGUGCGCUGGGGGGGGGUAGGGGGCGCGCGGGCCCUGGCGGACCGUUGGUGCGCGCGCCCAACCGCCGCCACGGCCACGCGCAGAUCGCGCGGAGCGGGAGGGCAGCGCAGCAGUGGAGGUGGAGGUGGUCUGGGGAAUGCCGUCCUCAGGAAAAACUCCAGAAUGUGCCUGUAGCAAGGCAACUUGCCUGCUGUGGACUGGGCGGAGAGAUGAGGGAUGGGGGCAGGAACUGCUCCGAAUGCUUGGCACACCCCCCACCUAAAGUAGCUACAGUGGCCACGUUGAUGGUCUCUUUCUUCCAAAGCAGUUCUACAGAAAUCAGAAACUGGUGGACCUAUUCCGUCAAAAAAUUUCCACUGAAUCUCUGUCACAUGGUGUCAACACUAUUUCACUCAUCAAGGCUGUCUUUUGCUGCGUCAUUGGUGAUCUGGUGUUCAGUUUUUCAUGUGUUUCAGUUUUAAAUGGAAACGGUAGCAAAUGGAAGGUAUGGCCUAUCUUUUGUUGUUGUCUUUUUAAAAGAAUAAUUUGGACAUGAUAAGGGAGAGAACAUUGCCGAAAAGUUCUCUCACGGGGACUUCAAAGUCUUUCUAGCACCUGGUGGCAUUCUUUAACAUUUUUUAUUUCGGGGUAGACACUGGGAAAAUGCCUUCGGAGACUUUGUUACACUUCUGACCACUAGAAAGAGACUGGAUGUUUGACUCCAGGGUGGGAAUGAGGAACAAAGAGAACAGUUCACCCUUCCGCAACACUGUUACCCCCUAAUGUCUUUGGAACUGUUUAAAGGGGAUGUCACAUAGUGGAAAUAGUUUUCUUUGGAGUCCUGUGCUGUGAGAGAGAACUAAAGCAGUCCUUGGCUGCUCACCAUUCUUUUGCAUUGCUCCCAGCAUUGGUAUGUGCCGAACAUGGAGCAGAUGAACAGGGCAGAAGUUACAUGGAGAGUGUUUGCCUACUCCUUGAGAUAUAAUCCUCCGGCUUUUCUAAUUUAUGCUGAACUCUGGGCUGGCCCUGUGAAGAGACAAACAUCAGAGGACACUAUGGUGGUCUAGAGUAAGAGAGGUGCCUUGAUGUAGAGUCUGAUAUGAGCCUGAAACGAAGCAUGUAAAAUCCUUUCAGCACUUUGAGCUUAAUGUGAAGGUAUUAAGGGUGAAACUGAUGGCAUUAAAAUGCUUUCUGCUUUCUUAGUUACAGAGCAAGCUAUUUGCAGCAAAGAUUAUAGACCAUGGAAAAUUGAUUUGGGAACACUGAUGUUGAAUCACACUGCAGUACUCAACUGAAAUAAUCAUAGGAUCAUUAGAACUGGGUACUGCAUGUGUUUCCAGUGCCACACAGCACACAAAGACACUCUGCGUACCCAAAGAGAAUUGUCAGGAUACAUGGUAGAGCUAUGCAGAACCAAUUUGUGGCUGCAAAAAAAUAUUUUUGACAGCAUAUAUUAUGUAAUUUGGAAGAACUGAUGAACUCUCCUUUUUAUGAUGGCGCAAAAAGUGGCUUUUAUAAGGAAAGCUGUGCUAGAAAGAAGUAGGAGGUUUAUUCCCACCUACCUACACAGAAACUGUUGUUCUCCUGUAACUAUAAUGGAUUUAUUUUUAAUUGCAGACCAGAAUAAAGACUUAGUACCUUCACA
This 1780-nucleotide long non-coding RNA is filed under the name Numida meleagris (helmeted guineafowl). RNAcentral's name for it is "lncRNA (ENSNMEG00000011157.1)". Lineage: Eukaryota; Metazoa; Chordata; Aves; Galliformes; Numididae. The record is from RNAcentral.